This 241-nucleotide ribosomal RNA is filed under the name uncultured bacterium. Its description in RNAcentral is "partial 16S ribosomal RNA". It matches the Rfam family "Bacterial small subunit ribosomal RNA", at positions 131 to 353 of the family's 1533-position model. The record is from RNAcentral.
CUUCAGAGGGGGACGAACAGUUGGAAACGACUGCUAAUACCGCAUACGAUCUAAUCUCGGCAUCGAGGAUAGAUGAAAGGUGGCCUCUACAUGUAAGCUAUCACUGAAGGAGGGGAUUGCGUCUGAUUAGCUAGUUGGAGGGGUAACGGCCCACCAAGGCGAUGAUCAGUAGCCGGUCUGAGAGGAUGAACGGCCACACUGGAACUGAGACACGGUCCAGACUCCUACGGGAGGCAGCAUG